Non-coding RNA from Danio rerio (zebrafish), 463 nucleotides. The record is from Ensembl. Lineage: Eukaryota; Metazoa; Chordata; Actinopteri; Cypriniformes; Danionidae.
AGAAAUCAUUUAUCGCUGCGGCCGGACAGCAAACUGCUCUUUGGCAGGUACAUUAAGAAAAUGGGCAAAACAUGAGUCCUAACAUUAGUGGAAUGGAAGGAGGAACCAUCGACCUAUGACAAUAUUGUUUCUAAAAAGAACCUACUGAAAAAGAAAUUUGAACCUGGGGAUGUUGUGGAUGUUGCCUAUGAGGAUGAAAGUUCACCAGCCACAGUUCUAGACAUUAAAGAGAACAAAGAAACUCUCAGGAGGAGGAUAUUCAGAAGAGGGGAAUUUACAGACGUAGUACAGAAGAAGUUUCCAAACGUACCAAUAAAAUUUAUCAGAGCAGCAGUAAGGGGAAAAAGUAAAUGAUGAGCACAAGUUACAAGUAAGGAAAAUGGAGUAAACGCAGCCUGUUCAUUGGAUUCUGGUCUACUUUUUAUUUUUAUUUUUUUUAACAAUUUUAAUAAAUAAUUUGUGA